AAACUGCGAAUGGCUCAUUAAAUCAGUUAUCGUUUAUUUGAUAGGACCUUACUACUUGGAUAACCGUGGUAAUUCUAGAGCUAAUACAUGCUGAAAACCCCGACUUCGGAAGGGGUGUAUUUAUUAGAUAAAAAACCAAUGCCCUCCGGGGCUCCUUGGUGAUUCAUAAUAACUUCUCAGAUCGCAUGGCCUUGCGCCGGCGACGGUUCAUUCAAAUUUCUGCCCUAUCAACUUUCGAUGGUAAGGUAUUGGCUUACCAUGGUUUCAACGGGUAACGGGGAAUUAGGGUUCGAUUCCGGAGAGGGAGCCUGAGAAACGGCUACCACAUCCAAGGAAGGCAGCAGGCGCGCAAAUUACCCAAUCCCGACACGGGGAGGUAGUGACAAUAAAUACUGAUACAGGGCUCUUUUGGGUCUUGUAAUUGGAAUGAGUACAAUUUAAACCUCUUAACGAGGAACAAUUGGAGGGCAAGUCUGGUGCCAGCAGCCGCGGUAAUUCCAGCUCCAAUAGCGUAUAUUAAAGUUGUUGCAGUUAAAAAGCUCGUAGUUGAACCUUUGGCCUGGCUGGCAGGUCCGCCUCACCGCGUGCACUUGUCCGGCCGGGCCUUCUCUUCUGGAGAACCGCAUGCCCUUCACUGGGUGUGUUGGGGACCAGGACUUUUACUUUGAAAAAAUUAGAGUGUUCAAAGCAGGCCUUUGCUCGAAUACGUUAGCAUGGAAUAAUAGAAUAGGACGUGCGGUCCUAUUUUGUUGGUUUCUAGGACCGCCGUAAUGAUUAAUAGGGACAGUCGGGGGCAUCAGUAUUCAAUUGUCAGAGGUGAAAUUCUUGGAUUUAUUGAAGACUAACUACUGCGAAAGCAUUUGCCAAGGAUGUUUUCAUUAAUCAGUGAACGAAAGUUAGGGGAUCGAAGACGAUCAGAUACCGUCGUAGUCUUAACCAUAAACUAUGCCGACUAGGGAUCGGGCGGUGUUAUUAUUUUGACUCGCUCGGCACCUUACGAGCAAAUACAAAGU
RNAcentral lists this ribosomal RNA (1013 nucleotides) under Lentithecium fluviatile. RNAcentral describes it as "SSU rRNA". It matches the Rfam family "Eukaryotic small subunit ribosomal RNA", at positions 84 to 1104 of the family's 1831-position model. The record is from RNAcentral. Lineage: Eukaryota; Fungi; Ascomycota; Dothideomycetes; Pleosporales; Lentitheciaceae.